AUUGAACGCUGGCGGCAGGCUUAACACAUGCAAGUCGAGCGGGGUGAUGGUGCUUGCACUAUCACUUAGCGGCGGACGGGUGAGUAAUGCUUAGGAAUCUGCCUAUUAGUGGGGGACAACAUCUCGAAAGGGAUGCUAAUACCGCAUACGUCCUACGGGAGAAAGCAGGGGAUCACUUGUGACCUUGCGCUAAUAGAUGAGCCUAAGUCGGAUUAGCUAGUUGGUGGGGUAAAGGCCUACCAAGGCGACGAUCUGUAGCGGGUCUGAGAGGAUGAUCGGACACACUGGGACUGAGACACGGCCCAGACUCCUACGGGAGGCAGCAGUGGGGAAUAUUGGACAAUGGGGGGAACCCUGAUCCAGCCAUGCCGCGUGUGUGAAGAAGGCCUUAUGGUUGUAAAGCACUUUAAGCGAGGAGGAGGCUCUUUUGGUUAAUACCCAAGAUGAGUGGACGUUACUCGCAGAAUAAGCACCGGCUAACUCUGUGCCAGCCGCCGCAGUAA
This 503-nucleotide ribosomal RNA is filed under the name uncultured bacterium. Its description in RNAcentral is "partial 16S ribosomal RNA". It matches the Rfam family "Bacterial small subunit ribosomal RNA", at positions 30 to 523 of the family's 1533-position model. The record is from RNAcentral.